RNAcentral lists this long non-coding RNA (1263 nucleotides) under Pogona vitticeps (central bearded dragon). RNAcentral describes it as "lncRNA (ENSPVIG00000025096.1)". Lineage: Eukaryota; Metazoa; Chordata; Lepidosauria; Squamata; Agamidae. The record is from RNAcentral.
UGUGAUGUGUCUUUGAGAGGUAAACCGGAACCCAAUCUGAUAGCUGAGCCACUUGGGUUGAUUCUUUGCAAUUGACAUUCUCCUUGAUGUCUGGUUUGGCCAUAUGUCAAAGAAUAUGCCCGUGCAAGGAUGCCUCAGCAUCUCUCAUUUUAGAUGCUCAGAUGCGUCAAGGUUCUCUGGUGACUUGCCAUUUCUUUUUGAAACCUUCUACUUUUGCAGGACUAUGUCACGCUGGGUACUACUGUGAAAUGGCAUCCUCUCGCCCUGACCAGAAGCUCUGCCCCCCAGGGUUCUACUGCCCCAAAGGCACAGGGCUUCCAGUUCCAUGUGUGUCAGGAACCAUCAAUCCCCACUAUGGGGAGUGGAAUGCCUCUGGCUGCAAACUCUGUCCGGCUGGGCAUUUCUGCAGUGGACCAGGAAGGAUUGUUCCAGAAGGGAAAUGUUCCCUGGGUUAUUACUGUCCGUCAGGGCAGAUGUCUGCCACACCUGCCUCCCUGCGGUGUCCACGUGGCUUUUACUGCCUUGAAGGAUCCGUGGCUCCAGUGGCUUGCCAGAAGGGAAGCUACCAGCUGGAAGAAGGGAAAGGAUCAUGUGAACUUUGUCCAGUGGGAUUCUUUUGUGAGCCUUUCAAUGAAAGUGUUGCAAUAUCAGUUCCUAGCCCAUGUAUCCCUGGGCAUUUUUGCCCCCUGGGAACCACAUCUGACACAGAACACCCAUGCCCCAAGGGAACAUAUGGACCGAAAGCUGGUGCCACUCAGGAAUCUGACUGUGAAUCUUGUCCAGCAGGUACAGCGUGCAGACAGGCGGCCACUGUGGAGCCACGCGGCUGCCCUCGAGGUUUCUACUGCCCGCUCCAGACGGCCAGCCCCUUGCCAUGUCCGGCGGGCACUCUGAACACCCUUGAGGGAGCUCUGUCCUUCCACGCUUGCAAGCCAUGCCCCGUGGGGAGGUACUGCCGUCGGGAUGCAAACUGGGAACCUGAUGGUCUCUGCUCUCCCGGCUAUUACUGCGCAGGAGGAGCUUCUGCUGCUGUCCCACAAAGUACACCUGAUUUCCCCCUCAAUGGGCCCUGCCCGCAGGGCCACUACUGUCCAGAAGGCACCUUGUCCCCUGUUGCCUGCCCAGUUGGCACACUGAACAAUGCAACAGGUGAGUGCAGCCUGAUCUGGUCCAUUGGACUCCACUUUCAGAUCCUGUUGGCUGUCCCAGUUUCCUUUCUCUGGAUAUAGGAAGCAAGUUUGCUAUUUACCCUGAAAGGUUUGU